AUACUCGCUUCGGCGGUACAUAUACUAAAAUUGGAACGAUACCGAGAAGAUUAGCAUGGCCCCUGCGCAAGGCUGAUACGCAAAAGCCGGCACGGUAGCUCAGCGUGU
RNAcentral lists this small nuclear RNA (108 nucleotides) under Schistocerca americana (American grasshopper). Lineage: Eukaryota; Metazoa; Arthropoda; Insecta; Orthoptera; Acrididae. The record is from RNAcentral.